CAGUAGCCGCGGUAAUACGUAGGGGGCAAGCGUUAUCCGGAUUUACUGGGUGUAAAGGGAGCGUAGACGGAAUGGCAAGUCUGAAGUGAAAUGCCCGGGCUCAACCCGGGAACUGCUUUGGAAACUGUCGAUCUGGAGUGUUGGAGAGGUAAGUGGAAUUCCUGGUGUAGCGGUGAAAUGCGUAGAGAUCAGGAAGAACACCGGAGGCGAAGGCGGCUUACUGGACAAAGACUGACGUUGAGGCUCGAAAGCGUGGGAAGCAAACAGGAUUAGAUACCCCCGUAGUCCCUGUCUCUUAUAC
This 301-nucleotide ribosomal RNA is filed under the name uncultured bacterium. Its description in RNAcentral is "partial 16S ribosomal RNA". It matches the Rfam family "Bacterial small subunit ribosomal RNA", at positions 509 to 807 of the family's 1533-position model. The record is from RNAcentral.